GACGAACGCUGGCGGCGUGCUUAACACAUGCAAGUCGAACGGAAAGGCCCUGCUUUUGUGGGGUGCUCGAGUGGCGAACGGGUGAGUAACACGUGAGUAACCUGCCCUUGACUUUGGGAUAACUUCAGGAAACUGGGGCAAAUACCGGAUAGGAGCUCCUGCUGCAUGGUGGGGGUUGGAAAGUUUCGGCGGUUGGGGAUGGACUCGCGGCUUAUCAGCUUGUUGGUGGGUAGUGGCUUACCAAGGCUUUGACGGGUAGCCGGCCUGAGAGGGUGACCGGCCACAUUGGGACUGAGAUACGGCCCAGACUCCUACGGGAGGCAGCAGUGGGGAAUAUUGCACAAUGGGCGGAAGCCUGAUGCAGCAACGCCGCGUGCGGGAUGACGGCCUUCGGGUUGUAAACCGCUUUCGCCUGUGACGAAGCGUGAGUGACGGUAAUGGGUAAAGAAGCACCGGCUAACUACGUG
This 467-nucleotide ribosomal RNA is filed under the name uncultured bacterium. RNAcentral describes it as "partial 16S ribosomal RNA". It matches the Rfam family "Bacterial small subunit ribosomal RNA", at positions 28 to 507 of the family's 1533-position model. The record is from RNAcentral.